Molecule: transfer RNA, 69 nt
Filed under: Phagocata gracilis
Lineage: Eukaryota; Metazoa; Platyhelminthes; Tricladida; Planariidae
Description: tRNA-Met
Source: RNAcentral
CAAAUAGUAAGUUAAAUUUUAUAAACUACAAGAUUCAUGAUCUUGCAAUAGAUUUUGUACUUUAUUUGA